This is a long non-coding RNA of Chrysemys picta bellii (western painted turtle), 1134 nucleotides long. RefSeq lists it as uncharacterized. Lineage: Eukaryota; Metazoa; Chordata; Testudines; Emydidae. The record is from RefSeq and is a predicted model, not a curated record.
AGCUGGAGCUGGAGCAGUGGCAGAGUGGAACUGGAGCAGUCCAGAGCUGGGUGCGACAGCAGAAAGUGAAAGUGUUGAGGAGAUAUUGUCAACAUCCUCCCUUGUUUGAUUUUCCCUUGAGUUCUCUGUGGUGAAACUUUGGCCUGCAGUAGCAUUCAAAGAGCCCAAGAGGUGAGAACCAAAGAGGUCAGCUGCUUUGCUCCAGACGUUAAAUGAAACAAAUGCAUCUCUGUUAAUCAGUACAAAAGGAGAGGAAUCUGCUCCCAACAGCAAUACCAUACUUGAUUAAAGAGCAGCACAAAAUAAAAUGCUCAAAAGUGAGACACAUCUCCAGCUUCACUUUGGUGAAUAAAAAUGAAACAAAGAUCCAAGGAAGAAGACAGCUUUCUCAGAAGGUGAAUUAGGACCCACGGGGGUCUGCGGACCACAGACUGAAAACCACUGGACUAGAGCAAAGAAGAGGUGCUCCUUUUUUACUGAACACUGUAUGCGUUGAAAUACAUUUUGUAAAAUUCAUAAGUCACAAACCAAAUGGCUAGCAUCAUUUUUAAUUAAGACCUUCUGUUUUACUUAAUUAUCCCUUUUGACAUAGAUCUCCUCUCCUUUAGCCGCAGCAAUGCACCACUCUUCACAAAAUCACAAGCCGGAGUCUUGGCACAAAUAUGCAGUUAUAGACAAGAGUAUGUGUCAGUAUCUUUUUAAUUUGGACCAGCCCUGAGCCCUGACAAGAACGCUUUUCAAAGCUGGACUGUGCACAUACAAUCUACACACACUUAUUUCGUGUGACUAUGACAAGGGAAGAUUAAUUUAAUGUAUGAUCUCAGCCUACAGUAUUACAAUUUUUUCUAGCAGUGAUGUUAAGCAAGAGCUGAUUAAAUUGGCACAGAAAGGAAAAAAAAAGAGAAAAUAUCUCCCAAAUUCCUUAAUUCCACUAGUUUAGCUACUCCUGACUCCAGAAGCUACUCCUACCUUCUCCCUGUGAGAUUCAAAGGCCAAGUAACUACACUACCCAUUACCAUAGGCAGCGAGUUAUAUGGGCCCGUGGUGUCCGUGGUGUCCACCAAUAUUUAGGAACGUGGGCCAGGCUCCACCAAUGUUUGGGCUUACCGCACUUUGGGGGGCCCCACACUUCAG